UCUCCGUUGGUGAACCAGCGGAGGGAUCAUUACCGAGUUUACAACUCCCAAACCCAUGUGAACAUACCUACUGUUGCUUCGGCGGGAUUGCCCCGGGCGCCUCGUGUGCCCCGGAUCAGGCGCCCGCCUAGGAACUCUAACUCUUGUUUUAUUUUGAAUCUUCUGAGUAGUUUUUACAAAUAAAUAAAAACUAUCAACAACGGAUCUCUUGGUUCUGGCAUCGAUGAAGAACGCAGC
This 237-nucleotide unclassified non-coding RNA is filed under the name uncultured fungus. Its description in RNAcentral is "sequence contains ITS1, 5.8S rRNA gene". The stretch from base 189 to 237 matches the Rfam family "5.8S ribosomal RNA", at positions 1 to 49 of the family's 154-position model. Lineage: Eukaryota; Fungi. The record is from RNAcentral.